AUUAUGUAUUUAACUUUCUAAAAUUUCCUUUUAAUUUUCCUCAGAAGAAAUUUUCAGAUUAAUAUUUUGUUACAAUCAUGAAGUUAUAUUGGUCCAAAAAAAAGUAUUCAAUAGAAUGGGUGAUAAAGCAGGUACUAAUGUUCACCUAAAAGUUUCUUUUUUCUGGGCUAGGUAUAUGAAAGGCAUUUAAUCAGCUUGAAUUUGUGAAGAGCAAAACAUUCCUAUCAUCUUGCAUUGGACUAUGAACUGAGGAAGAAAUCAAGUUUGUGUUGGUUCUUCUGGGAUGGCAAAUAAGUGAAGCGAAUGAAAGCAAUGAGGAAUUUGGGUCCAAACCUUGUUUUAACUAAAAUGAGAGGUGACAGAUAUCUUCAAGUGAAAACGCACCUGGGGAACUCGCCGCCUGCCGCUGAAACGGGAGCUCUGGGGAAACCUUUCCCAGAGUGAACCCAAGGACCCAGCAAUCUACAAAACUACAUCAUUUUGGCGACCACGAAGAGACUCUUCAUGUCAUCUGGUGACAACAUCAAUAUGAAAGUCAAGGGUUAACCUCAUGACCCUGACUUGAGUACUCACUUCCUCCGUUUGGCAAGAUGACCAUGUUCUGCUCCAGGUACAACCUCUAGGAAAUAAACUGAAAUUUCUGAUAAUCUGCAGAGAUAGCUGGAAAAUACAUAAUCAAGAGGAGAAAGGAGCCUUGGGCAAUUUCUUCUUAAAUCAUUUUUCUCUUCUAUUCAGAAGAAAUGUAUCUAGCAGAAAUGCACACUGAAUAUUUAGGAGUAAAAGUUUAUAAG
Long non-coding RNA from Talpa occidentalis (Iberian mole), 791 nucleotides. RefSeq lists it as uncharacterized. The transcript is spliced from 4 exons. The record is from RefSeq and is a predicted model, not a curated record. NCBI's taxonomy places the organism in Eukaryota, Metazoa, Chordata, Mammalia, Eulipotyphla, Talpidae.